RNAcentral lists this non-coding RNA (28 nucleotides) under Bombyx mori (domestic silkworm). The record is from RNAcentral. Lineage: Eukaryota; Metazoa; Arthropoda; Insecta; Lepidoptera; Bombycidae.
AACCGAAGAGCAGACUGCUGCAUAGUGA